RNAcentral lists this ribosomal RNA (1241 nucleotides) under metagenome. RNAcentral's name for it is "bacterial LSU rRNA". It matches the Rfam family "Bacterial large subunit ribosomal RNA", at positions 1564 to 2815 of the family's 2925-position model. The record is from RNAcentral.
UGAAUACGAGAUGCUACGGCGUCGAAGCAGUCUAUGUCAUACUUCCAAGAAAAGCUCGCACUGUCAUAAACAAAUAAUGCCUGUACCAUAACCGACACAGGUGGGUAGGUAGAGUAUACUAAGGGGCGCGAGAUAACUCUCUCUAAGGAACUCGGCAAAAUGACUCCGUAACUUCGGGAGAAGGAGUGCCUUAUUUAUAAGGUUGCAAUAACAAGAUCCAAGCAACUGUUUAUCAAAAACACAGGUCUCCGCUAAGUCGUAAGACGAUGUAUGGGGGCUGACGCCUGCCCAGUGCCAGAAGGUUAAAGAAGUUGGUUAGCAUUCGCGAAGCUGAUAACUGAAGCCCUGGUGAACGGCGGCCGUAACAAUAACGGUCCUAAGGUAGCGAAAUUCCUUGUCGGGUAAGUUCCGACCCGCACGAAAGGCGUAAUGAUUUGGAUACUGUCUCGGAGAGGGGCUCGGUGAAAUAGACUUGUCUGUGAUAUGCGGACUACCUGCACCAGGACAGAAAGACCCUAUGAAGCUUUACUGUAACUUGAGAUUGAAAUUGGACUUUACUUGCGCAGUAUAGGUGGGAGGCGUUGAUAAUAUUCUUGCGGGAUUAUUUGAGCCAUCAGUGAGAUACCACUCUUGUAAUGUUAGAUUUCUAACUUUGUAUCAUCAUCUGGUCCAAGGACAGUUUCAGGCGGGCAGUUUGACUGGGGCGGUCGCCUCCUAAACGGUAACGGAGGCGCACAAAGGUUUCCUCUGAACGGGUAGAAAUCGUAUCUAGAGUGUAAAGGCAUAAGGAAGCUUGACUGUGAGACCUACAAGUCGAGCAGGGACGAAAGUCGGUCUUAGUGAUCUGACGGUGCUGAGUGGAAAGGCCGUCACUCAACGGAUAAAAGUUACUCUAGGGAUAACAGGCUGAUCUCCCCCAAGAGUUCACAUCGACGGGGAGGUUUGGCACCUCGAUGUCGGCUCAUCGCAUCCUGGGGCGGUAGUACGUCCCAAGGGUUGGGCUGUUCGCCCAUGAAAGCGGUACGCGAGCUGGGUUUAGAACGUCGUGAGACAGUUCGGUCCAUAUCCGGUGUAGGCGUUAGAAUAUUGAGAGGAGCCUUCUUUAGUACGAGAGGACCGAGAAGGACAUACCUCUGGUGUACCAGUUAUCGUGCCAACGGUAAACGCUGGGUAGCUAUGUAUGGAGUGGAUAACCGCUGAAAGCAUCUAAGUGGGAAGCCCACCUCAAGAUAAGUAUUCUC